Molecule: long non-coding RNA, 300 nt
Filed under: Ananas comosus (pineapple)
Lineage: Eukaryota; Viridiplantae; Streptophyta; Magnoliopsida; Poales; Bromeliaceae
Description: long non-coding RNA (ACOM_LNC025144)
Source: RNAcentral
AAAAAAAGGAAAAACUUCAGAUACCACCCCUGUGAUUUCCAUUAUUUUUUUUUAUUAUCCAUUUUACUAAUUUUUUUUUCGUUAAAUCAGUGACAAAAUUAAAACUAAAGAGUAUUAAAGUGAAUAUUCGAUAAAUCUAGAUAAGGUAUCUGAAGUUUUUUAUAUAUAAUUUAACGAAAUAUUAACGGAGGAGCUGACGAAAAGAGAAAAAUGAAAUUACGGGAUACUAACUUGAUACACUUUAAACCACAGUACUAAAGUGAAAAAGUGCGAAACCACAUGGGUGGUAUUUGAAGUUUA